Molecule: long non-coding RNA, 947 nt
Filed under: Gallus gallus (chicken)
Lineage: Eukaryota; Metazoa; Chordata; Aves; Galliformes; Phasianidae
Source: RNAcentral
GCUAGCUUCACAUUGUUGCUGGGCUCUUCCUUUCUCAUUCCCUGGAUGAUGGCUGUCAGGAUCUCAUUGGAUUUGUCUUGAAGUUGCUCUGGGUCGAUAUCCUGGCAGAUGUACCCAAUGGCCUCCAGCGUGGACUCCUUCAUGUGCUCAGUGCUGUGCUGGUUGGUGACGUUGGCCACCAGCUGGGGGAUGAGCUCAGGCCAUUGGUUCAUGGGGAUCUCGGCGCAGGCGAUGCCGGCCACGCACUGCGAGGCAGAGCUGGGUCGGUACGUCUCUGUGCCCAACGUCUGCAGAACGUAGUUCUUGACCUCCCUGCGGGCGUUGGCGUCGAUGGCGAGCCAUCGCUGCUGGUACUGAGCCUUGAUGUCGGGGUCCUUGGAAGUGAGAGAGUUCUUGAUCUGCAGGCCGGCCGCCACCCGCGCCACCUGGCUGUUGCCGGGGUUGGCCAGCACUCUGGACAGUUCCACCAGGAAGGUUGGCAGGUUCUCGAUCGCCGCCUGCUCCAGGAACUUCUGCGCCGCUUCGAGCUCCGAGCGGUCCGGCGACACCGUCUUCUCCAGGAUGGUGAUGAGCUCCAUGGCGGCGGCGUGGCGGCUCCGGAGCGGCGGAGGGGAGGGAGGAGGGGAGCGAUGGGGCGGGGGGGGCGGCGGCGCUCCGGGUACUGCGGGAGGCGGCGGCGGCGGCGGAGGGAGAAAAAGGGCCGCGCGGGCGGAGCGGUGCGCGCGCGCACACCGAGCGGCGGAGGGAUACCACGGCCGCGGCCCGCCGCCCCGCGCCGACGCGCUGAUUGGUGGGAGCCGGCAGGCGGCUCGCGCUCCUAUUGGUCGGCCCGCGCCGGGGGGAGGGCGUUGGCGGGCCGCGGGGAGGAAGAGAGGAGGCGGGGCUUCCGGCGGCGCAGCGCGCUGAUUGGGCGGCGCCGCGAAGGGCGCCCCGGCGGCGGCUGCGGC